RNAcentral lists this ribosomal RNA (252 nucleotides) under uncultured bacterium. RNAcentral's name for it is "partial 16S ribosomal RNA". It matches the Rfam family "Bacterial small subunit ribosomal RNA", at positions 796 to 1041 of the family's 1533-position model. The record is from RNAcentral.
CACGCUGUAAACGAUGAUCACUAGAUGUGGGUCUUCUUUGGAGGAUCCGUGUCGAAGCUAACGCGUUAAGUGAUCCGCCUGAGUAGUACGAUCGCAAGAUUAAAACUCAAAGAAAUUGACGGGGGUCCGCACAAGCGGUGGAACAUGUGGUUUAAUUCGACACUACGCGAGUAACCUUACCCAGGCUUGACAUUUUUGUGACGAUGCUAGAGAUAGUAUUUCUUGGGGUAACUCAAGCACAUUAACAGGUGC